CCUACGGGUGGCAGCAGUGGGGAAUAUUGGACAAUGGGGGGAACCCUGAUCCAGCCAUGCCGCGUGUGUGAAGAAGGCCCUCGGGUUGUAAAGCACUUUCAGUGAGGAAGAACGCCUGGUGGUUAAUACCCAUCAGGAAAGACAUCACUCACAGAAGAAGCACCGGCUAACUCCGUGCCAGCAGCCGCGGUAAUACGGAGGGUGCGAGCGUUAAUCGGAAUUACUGGGCGUAAAGCGCGCGUAGGUGGCUUGAUAAGCCGGUUGUGAAAGCCCCGGGCUCAACCUGGGAACGGCAUCCGGAACUGUCAAGCUAGAGUACAGGAGAGGAAGGUAGAAUUCCCGGUGUAGCGGUGAAAUGCGUAGAGAUCGGGAGGAAUACCAGUGGCGAAGGCGGCCUUCUGGACUGACACUGACACUGAGGUGCGAAAGCGUGGGUAGCAAACAGGAUUAGAUACCCGUGUAGUC
Molecule: ribosomal RNA, 465 nt
Filed under: Vreelandella stevensii
Lineage: Bacteria; Pseudomonadati; Pseudomonadota; Gammaproteobacteria; Oceanospirillales; Halomonadaceae
Description: partial 16S ribosomal RNA
Rfam family: Bacterial small subunit ribosomal RNA
Source: RNAcentral